ACAGAGGUCCCAAGCGUUGUUCGGAUUCACUGGGCGUAAAGGGUGCGUAGGUGGUGAGGUAAGUCUAAUGUGAAAUCCCGGAGCUCAACUCCGGAACUGCAUCGGAAACUAUCUCGCUAGAGGGUUGUAGGGGGGACUGGAAUUCUCGGUGUAGCAGUGAAAUGCGUAGAUAUCGAGAGGAACACCAGUGGCGAAGGCGAGUCCCUGGACAACACCUGACACUGAGGCACGAAAGCUAGGGGAGCAAACAG
Molecule: ribosomal RNA, 251 nt
Filed under: uncultured prokaryote
Description: partial 16S rRNA
Rfam family: Bacterial small subunit ribosomal RNA
Source: RNAcentral